GUCUAUAACUCUACCACCCUGAAUGUGCCUGAUCUUGUCUGAUCUCUGACACUAAGCAGGGUUGGGCCUGGUUAGUGCUUGCAUGGGAGACUGCCUGGGAAUACCUGGUGCUAUAGGCU
This 119-nucleotide ribosomal RNA is filed under the name Propithecus coquereli (Coquerel's sifaka). The record is from RNAcentral. Lineage: Eukaryota; Metazoa; Chordata; Mammalia; Primates; Indriidae.